AUGGAUUUUUUUGAUAUGAUUUUUCCAUGGCAUUUCCUGGUAAUUUUUGCCAUGUCAUUUUCUGAUCAUACUUAUUUUUUCCAUGGCAAUUCUGUAUUUUUUGAGAGAUGGCAAAUUUUGAUAUACAUCUGCCACGUGUUUUUAAUUAAAAUGAUGAAAAGGAAAUUUUUGAUGUGCCAUGCCAUUUUGUUCAAAUGUUUUCCAUAUAAAAAUGGUUUUAUAUGUAUCAUGCUAAUUACAUUAUUUUUUCUCAUCAUGGCAAAAUUUUCAUCUUUAUCACGAUGGCAAAAUCUGGGCUUUAUUAGUCAUAGCCAAAUGUGA
This 321-nucleotide ribosomal RNA is filed under the name Triticum aestivum (bread wheat). Its description in RNAcentral is "partial small subunit ribosomal RNA". Lineage: Eukaryota; Viridiplantae; Streptophyta; Magnoliopsida; Poales; Poaceae. The record is from RNAcentral.